This 482-nucleotide ribosomal RNA is filed under the name uncultured bacterium. RNAcentral describes it as "partial 16S ribosomal RNA". It matches the Rfam family "Bacterial small subunit ribosomal RNA", at positions 30 to 507 of the family's 1533-position model. The record is from RNAcentral.
AUUGAACGCUGGCGGCAUGCCUUACACAUGCAAGUCGAACGGUAACAGGUCUUCGGAUGCUGACGAGUGGCGAACGGGUGAGUAAUACAUCGGAACGUGCCCGAUCGUGGGGGAUAACGAAGCGAAAGCUUUGCUAAUACCGCAUAAGAUCUACGGAUGAAAGCAGGGGACCGCAAGGCCUUGCGCGAACGGAGCGGCCGAUGGCAGAUUAGGUAGUUGGUGGGAUAAAAGCUUACCAAGCCGACGAUCUGUAGCUGGUCUGAGAGGACGACCAGCCACACUGGGACUGAGAAAAGGCCCAGACUCCUAAGGGAGGCAGCAGUGGGGAAUUUUGGAAAAUGGGCGAAAGCCUGAUCCAGCCAUGCCGCGUGCAGGAUGAAGGCCUUCGGGUUGUAAACUGCUUUUGUAAGGAACGAAAAGACUCUGGUUAAUACCUGGGGUCCAUGACGGUACCGUAAGAAUAAGCACCGGCUAACUACGUG